RNAcentral lists this ribosomal RNA (245 nucleotides) under uncultured Acidobacterium sp. Its description in RNAcentral is "partial 16S ribosomal RNA". It matches the Rfam family "Bacterial small subunit ribosomal RNA", at positions 524 to 768 of the family's 1533-position model. The record is from RNAcentral. Lineage: Bacteria; Pseudomonadati; Acidobacteriota; Terriglobia; Terriglobales; Acidobacteriaceae.
UACGUAGGCAGCAAGCGUUGUUCGGAGUUACUGGGCGUAAAGAGUGCGUAGGCGGUGCCCUAAGUCUGUUGUGAAAUCUCCUGGCUCAACUGGGAGGGUGCGGUGGAAACUGGGGUGCUUGAGAGUGGGAGAGGUUAGCGGAAUUCCUGGUGUAGCGGUGAAAUGCGUAGAUAUCAGGAGGAACACCGGUGGUGUAGACGGCUGACUGGACCACGACUGACGCUGAGGCACGAAAGCGUGGGUAG